RNAcentral lists this ribosomal RNA (486 nucleotides) under uncultured Glomus. RNAcentral's name for it is "SSU rRNA". It matches the Rfam family "Eukaryotic small subunit ribosomal RNA", at positions 569 to 1062 of the family's 1831-position model. Lineage: Eukaryota; Fungi; Glomeromycota; Glomeromycetes; Glomerales; Glomeraceae. The record is from RNAcentral.
AGCAGCCGCGGUAAUUCCAGCUCCAAUAGCGUAUAUUAAAGUUGCUGCAGUUAAAAAGCUCGUAGUUGAAUUUCGGGAUCAAUAUGUUGGUCGUGCCUCGGUACGUACUAGCUUAUUGGUUUCUUCCUUCUGACGAACCAUAAUGUCAUUUAUUUGGUGUUAUGGGGAAUCAGGACUGUUACUUUGAAAAAUUAGAGUGUUUAAAGCAGGCUCACGCUUGAAUACAUUAGCAUGGAAUAAUGAAAUAGGACGUUUGAUUCUAUUUUGUUGGUUUCUAGGAUCGACGUAAUGAUUAAUAGGGAUAGUUGGGGGCAUUAGUAUUCAAUUGUCAGAGGUGAAAUUCUUGGAUUUAUUGAAGACUAACUACUGCGAAAGCAUUUGCCAAGGAUGUUUUCAUUAAUCAAGAACGAAAGUUAGGGGAUCGAAGACGAUCAGAUACCGUCGUAGUCUUAACCAUAAACUAUGCCGACUAGGGAUCGGAUGAUG